GAUCUACCGUUGGUCAGAGUGAAGGGCGGGUAAAACCGCCUGGAGGCUUGAACGCGUGAACGUUGAAAAGUUCUGCGAUGAACUGACGGGAGGACUAAAAGUGUAAUCAAACUGGGAGAUAGCUCGUUCUUUCCGAAAUACCUUUAGGGGUAGCCUCGUACAAUGCCAUUGGGGGUAGAGCGACUGGAUGGACUUAGGGGCCUACCCGGUCACCUGGUCCAACCAAACUCCGAAUACCAGUGGUUCAGUACGGGAGAAAGACGUUGAGUGACAAUAUCCAACGUCAAGAGGAGAAAAAUCCAGACCGCCGGCUAAGGCCCCGAAACUACGUUAAGUUCUAAAGGAAGUCAGAGUGCAGUGACAUCCAGGAUGUUGGCUUAGAAGCAGCCAUCAUUUAAAGAGUGCGUAACAGCUCACUGGACGAGGAUUCUGGCGCCGAUAAUUAUCGGGAAUAAGCGUAGUGCCGAAGCCGCGGACUCUACUAUGAGUGGUAGGAAAGCGUAGCACGUGCGGCGAAGCAGGACCGUAAGGCACUGUGGAGCGCGUGCUAGUGAGCAUGCAGGCUUGAGUAACGAUAAAGCAGGUGAAAAUCCUGCUCGCCGUAAGCCCAAGGGUUCCUGGGGAAGGUAAAUCCGCCCAGGGUUAGUCUGGACCUAAGACGAGGCUGAACAGCGUAGUCGAUGGAAAUCAGGUGAAUAUUCCUGAACCAACCCCUGUAUAAACGGAUCUGUGGACUCAACGGGACUGUCAGAUGUCCAGGCCGUAAGGCCGAUGUUGGGAAAGUGGGUUCCUAGAAAAGCAGGGAUGCCAGUACCAAAACUGACACAGGUGGGCGAGGCGAAUAGCCUCAGGCGCUCGAGAGAACGGUCGUGAAGGAACUAGGCAAAUUAACCCCGUAAGUUCGCGAUAAGGGGGCCCUACCCGCAAGGGAGGGCGCAGAGAAAAGGCUCUGGAACUGUUUAUCAAAAACACAGCUCUGUGCUAACUCGGAAGAGGAUGUAUACAGAGUGACGCUUGCCCGAUACCGGAAUGUCAAGAAAGUGGGUCAGCGAAAGCGAAGCUCGCGAUUUAAGCACCGGUGAAUGGCGGCCGUAACUAUGACGGUCCUAAGGUAGCGAAGUUCCUUGUCGGGUAAGUUCCGACGCGCAUGAAUAGCGUAAUCACUGGAGCACUGUCUCCACGACCGACUCGGUGAAAUAGAAGUGGCGGUGUAGAUGCCGCCUCCCCGCAGCAAGACGGAAAGACCCCGUGGACCUUCACUGCAGGUUUUUAUUGGUCACGAGCAUACUCUG
RNAcentral lists this ribosomal RNA (1292 nucleotides) under metagenome. Its description in RNAcentral is "bacterial LSU rRNA". It matches the Rfam family "Bacterial large subunit ribosomal RNA", at positions 727 to 2136 of the family's 2925-position model. The record is from RNAcentral.